UACGUAGGCAGCAAGCGUUGUUCGGAGUUACUGGGCGUAAAGGGUGUGUAGGCGGUUCUUUAAGUUUGCUGUGAAAUCUCCCGGCUUAACCGGGAGGGUGCGGUGAAUACUGAGGGACUAGAGUACGGGAGAGGAAAGUGGAAUUCCUGGUGUAGCGGUGAAAUGCGUUGAUAUCGACCGGAACUCCGGUGGCGAAGGCGGCUCUCUGGGACGGUACUGACGCUGAGACGCGAAAGCGUGGGGAGCGAACAGG
Molecule: ribosomal RNA, 253 nt
Filed under: uncultured bacterium
Lineage: Bacteria
Description: partial 16S ribosomal RNA
Rfam family: Bacterial small subunit ribosomal RNA
Source: RNAcentral